UACGUAGGUGGCAAGCGUUGUCCGGAUUUACUGGGCGUAAAGAGCGCGCAGGCGGUCGUUUAAGUCGAAUGUGAAAGCCCCCGGCUCAACUGGGGAGGGUCAUUCGAUACUGAUCGACUUGAAGGCAGGAGAGGGAAGUGGAAUUCCAGGUGUAGCGGUGAAAGUGCGUAGAUAUCUGGAGGAACACCGGUGGCGAAGGCGGCAUCCUGGACCAACACUGACGCUGAGUGAGCGAAAGCCAGGGGAGCCAAACGGG
Molecule: ribosomal RNA, 256 nt
Filed under: uncultured bacterium
Lineage: Bacteria
Description: partial 16S ribosomal RNA
Rfam family: Bacterial small subunit ribosomal RNA
Source: RNAcentral